AUUGAACGCUGGCGGCAGGCCUAACACAUGCAAGUCGAGCGGAUGAAGGGAGCUUGCUCCUGGAUUCAGCGGCGGACGGGUGAGUAAUGCCUAGGAAUCUGCCUGGUAGUGGGGGAUAACGUCCGGAAACGGGCGCUAAUACCGCAUACGUCCUGAGGGAGAAAGUGGGGGAUCUUCGGACCUCACGCUAUCAGAUGAGCCUAGGUCGGAUUAGCUAGUUGGUGGGGUAAAGGCCUACCAAGGCGACGAUCCGUAACUGGUCUGAGAGGAUGAUCUGUCACACUGGAACUGAGACACGGUCCAGACUCCUACGGGAGGCAGCAGUGGGGAAUAUUGGACAAAGGGCGAAAGCCUGAUCCAGCCAUGCCGCGUGUGUGAAGAAGGUCUUCGGAUUGUAAAGCACUUUAAGUUGGGAGGAAGGGCAGUAAGUUAAUACCUUGCUGUUUUGACGUUACCAACAGAAUAAGCACCGGCUAACUUCGUG
This 484-nucleotide ribosomal RNA is filed under the name uncultured bacterium. RNAcentral describes it as "partial 16S ribosomal RNA". It matches the Rfam family "Bacterial small subunit ribosomal RNA", at positions 30 to 507 of the family's 1533-position model. The record is from RNAcentral.